Myotis brandtii (Brandt's bat) is the source of this 73-nucleotide long non-coding RNA. RefSeq lists it as uncharacterized. The transcript is spliced from 3 exons. The record is from RefSeq and is a predicted model, not a curated record. Lineage: Eukaryota; Metazoa; Chordata; Mammalia; Chiroptera; Vespertilionidae.
AAGGGGCCAUGAAAUAAAGGCUGUCCCAAAAUUCACGGAAGAAGUAAUUUUGAUAGGAAACACAGGUUUAUAA